CCCGGCUCCGUCGCGACCGGCGGCGGCCGCGUCUAGACGACAUCAGCGGGAUGCGGUGCAAGCGAUGGUGGCGGCUGGCGGCGGCAGGUUCAAGGUCGCGGGGCAGGGCAAGCAUCCGUCGAGGAAAAAGAGGCAACGCCUGAAUUAGGAGAGGAGAAUAGCAGGCGAACCUGCCUAGGAAUCGGAGUGGCUGCACGUCGGCUAGCAGCAGAAGGAUGGACUACGAUUCGUGCUUCCGCACCGCCGCUGUACAUUUCUUCUUCCCAGCAUUGAGGAGAACGACCUGGAGCCUACCAUGCCCCGGAUGUGGUCAGCUUUGAGAUCAGCAAACACUAGGUUCUCAUGUUCUUUUGUUUUCUGACCCGGAUACAACGAUCGGGUCCUCCUUAGUUUACCCUUUCAUCCCGUUUCCCUCCUACCACUAGCUACAGAAGACAAGUCAACCCUAUAAGAGUAUACUGAGCUAUGACGAGAAAAUGGUGCUGCAAUUGUUGGGCUAGCUUGCCUCAUGAAUUGUUUUGGAAUUUGAUUGAAAGGUUGGACUUUGCUGGUGUGCUUUGGUUGGUUAUUUAGCACUCUUUGAUAUAGAUGCUGCUGCAACACAAACUUCAGAUUCUACAAUGAACGGAUAAUGAAUCAGCAGUUACCGCCGGAAAGUUUGAUGAUGUGUUAGAUACUAUAGGAGUACCUGAAUCUGAAAGAAUCGGUAUUAAUCUUCUGAGGAGAAGUGGACAUUAUAUGGCCGUUCAGGAAGAAGCAGCUGCACCAGCAGAUAGAUACGGAUUACUUGUGGGACUUCCUGCUGCUACUACUGCUUUACUAAACGAGCAGAUGCACUAUCGUUGUUACCAUGGAAUAGGUAUACAGCUUACUCAUUCCACGGUUCCUUUUUCUGGCAGCUGUCCUUUUUAUGUGCCACUGCCAUCACUAGAGAAGAUUUUUCCGUGGAGAAGAAGGAAAUUAAAACUUCGAAGAAGCCUGCACUAUUCAGAUUGUUUUUCAUAAUAGAGGUGUUUCCUUUCACUUUAUUAGGAUUAAGAUCAAGAACUUUCUUUCAGUCGAUUACUUCUCUGUUACUCUUCAUCUGUUUAAGUUUGUUCAACUCUAUGCGUUUUGAAAAUAUGUUUCCAUGUAUUCCUAAAAUUCAGCAGAAUAGUAGUACCUCAAACUUAGAUGGA
Molecule: long non-coding RNA, 1178 nt
Organism: Lolium perenne
Lineage: Eukaryota; Viridiplantae; Streptophyta; Magnoliopsida; Poales; Poaceae
Source: RefSeq, a predicted model, not a curated record